Molecule: ribosomal RNA, 497 nt
Filed under: uncultured bacterium
Lineage: Bacteria
Description: partial 16S ribosomal RNA
Rfam family: Bacterial small subunit ribosomal RNA
Source: RNAcentral
GAUGAACGCUGGCGGCGUGCCUAAUACAUGCAAGUCGAGCGAACGGACGAGAAGCUUGCUUCUCUGAUGUUAGCGGCGGACGGGUGAGUAACACGUGGAUAACCUACCUAUAAGACUGGGAUAACUUCGGGAAACCGGAGAUAAUACCGGAUAAUAUUUUGAACCGCAUGGUUCAACAGUGAAAGACGGUCUUGCUGUCACUUAUAGAUGGAUCCGCGCUGCAUUAGCUAGUUGGUAAGGUAACGGCUUACCAAGGCAACGAUGCAUAGCCGACCUGAGAGGGUGAUCGGCCACACUGGAACUGAGACACGGUCCAGACUCCUACGGGAGGCAGCAGUAGGGAAUCUUCCGCAAUGGGCGAAAGCCUGACGGAGCAACGCCGCGUGAGUGAUGAAGGUCUUCGGAUCGUAAAACUCUGUUAUUAGGGAAGAACAUAUGUGUAAGUAACUGUGCACAUCUUGACGGUACCUAAUCAGAAAGCCACGGCUAACUACGUG